CAGAACGUCCUUCCGAUUUCAACACACAAGUACUCCUAGGAGGAGGCCAACGGCCCAUCUCUCAAUUUUCAAUCCAGCAGUUUGUACACGGCUGGUUUAAUCUUUGGAAGGUCGUUGGUGGAGGUGGCAUCGCCUCUGACCUGCAGGAAACCAGCAACUCGACAUAAAGCCCCUGGCCUAUGUCAAAUGUCUGACUGAUGCUCAUAAUACGAUAAUGGUACUUCUGAAUCAAAACUCAGCGUUGCCUCCAAGAAACAC
This 258-nucleotide long non-coding RNA is filed under the name Homo sapiens (human). RNAcentral's name for it is "HSALNT0192098". Lineage: Eukaryota; Metazoa; Chordata; Mammalia; Primates; Hominidae. The record is from RNAcentral.